Molecule: ribosomal RNA, 891 nt
Filed under: Nocardiopsis synnemataformans
Lineage: Bacteria; Bacillati; Actinomycetota; Actinomycetes; Streptosporangiales; Nocardiopsidaceae
Description: bacterial SSU rRNA
Rfam family: Bacterial small subunit ribosomal RNA
Source: RNAcentral
GCCCAGACUCCUGCGGGAGGCAGCAGUGGGGAAUAUUGCGCAAUGGGCGAAAGCCUGACGCAGCGACGCCGCGUGGGGGAUGACGGCCUUCGGGUUGUAAACCUCUUUUACCACCAACGCAGGCUCGAAGUUCUCUUCGGGUUGACGGUAGGUGGGGAAUAAGGACCGGCUAACUACGUGCCAGCAGCCGCGGUAAUACGUAGGGUCCGAGCGUUGUCCGGAAUUAUUGGGCGUAAAGAGCUCGUAGGCGGCGUGUCACGUCUGCUGUGAAAGACCGGGGCUUAACUCCGGUUCUGCAGUGGAUACGGGCAUGCUAGAGGUAGGUAGGGGAGACUGGAAUUCCUGGUGUAGCGGUGAAAUGCGCAGAUAUCAGGAGGAACACCGGUGGCGAAGGCGGGUCUCUGGGCCUUACCUGACGCUGAGGAGCGAAAGCAUGGGGAGCGAACAGGAUUAGAUACCCUGGUAGUCCAUGCCGUAAACGUUGGGCGCUAGGUGUGGGGACUUUCCACGGUUUCCGCGCCGUAGCUAACGCAUUAAGCGCCCCGCCUGGGGAGUACGGCCGCAAGGCUAAAACUCAAAGGAAUUGACGGGGGCCCGCACAAGCGGCGGAGCAUGUUGCUUAAUUCGACGCAACGCGAAGAACCUUACCAAGGUUUGACAUCACCCGUGGACUCGCAGAGAUGUGAGGUCAUUUAGUUGGCGGGUGACAGGUGGUGCAUGGCUGUCGUCAGCUCGUGUCGUGAGAUGUUGGGUUAAGUCCCGCAACGAGCGCAACCCUUGUUCCAUGUUGCCAGCACGUAAUGGUGGGGACUCAUGGGAGACUGCCGGGGUCAACUCGGAGGAAGGUGGGGAUGACGUCAAGUCAUCAUGCCCCUUAUGUCUUGGGCUGCA